CCUGGUGGCCAUUGCGAGGAGCCCCAACCCGAUCCCAUCCCGAACUCGGCCGUUAAACUCCUCAGCGCCGAUGGUACUAUGUCUCAAGACCUGGGAGAGUAGGUCGCUGCCAGGCCUGCAAAGCACAGCAAACAAAAGCUUCUUCACAUCCAAACAAAAAC
Molecule: ribosomal RNA, 161 nt
Filed under: Ancylobacter aquaticus
Lineage: Bacteria; Pseudomonadati; Pseudomonadota; Alphaproteobacteria; Hyphomicrobiales; Xanthobacteraceae
Source: RNAcentral